CGUGGCCCAAUGGACAAGGCGCCUCCCUCCGGAGGAGGAGACUCGGGGUUCGAGUCCCCGC
This 61-nucleotide transfer RNA is filed under the name Phaeomonas parva. It matches the Rfam family "tRNA", at positions 7 to 64 of the family's 71-position model. Rfam says of the family: Transfer RNA (tRNA) molecules are approximately 80 nucleotides in length. Their secondary structure includes four short double-helical elements and three loops (D, anti-codon, and T loops). Further hydrogen bonds mediate the characteristic L-shaped molecular structure. tRNAs have two regions of fundamental functional importance: the anti-codon, which is responsible for specific mRNA codon recognition, and the 3' end, to which the tRNAs corresponding amino acid is attached (by aminoacyl-tRNA synthetases). tRNAs cope with the degeneracy of the genetic code in two manners: having more than one tRNA (with a specific anti-codon) for a particular amino acid; and 'wobble' base-pairing, i.e. permitting non-standard base-pairing at the 3rd anti-codon position. Lineage: Eukaryota; Pinguiophyceae; Pinguiochrysidales; Pinguiochrysidaceae. The record is from RNAcentral.